Molecule: long non-coding RNA, 220 nt
Filed under: Manihot esculenta (cassava)
Lineage: Eukaryota; Viridiplantae; Streptophyta; Magnoliopsida; Malpighiales; Euphorbiaceae
Description: long non-coding RNA (MESC_LNC001290)
Source: RNAcentral
UUUAAUUCAGCCAAUGAGUAGCUGAUUUCUUUAAUCUAGUUGAAUAUUGGUUGAAGCUUUAGUUGUUUAAUGGGUUGUGAGACUUGAUCAAAUAUUAUUUAAUUUUUGGGAAUUCAAUAUUUAUGCAAUUUCAUAUUUAAUUUUCAUAUUAUUUUGUUAUUGAGAUCUACGUUGAUUCUUGAUUGCAAAAUAAUUAUUUGUUAGUUUGAAUAAUUUAAGU